UAACACCCUAAUGAUUCUUCCACCCCGCACUCCCCCAGAGUGUGACCUCUGAUAUUUCUUCCACUCCAAUCCCCUUGCCUAUAAGAACCCCCUUGUACAACCCCUUCUUCUGAUCUUCUUUCUCUUUCUUUCCUUAAUUGAUUCGUAAACUGUUAUCAGGAUAGUGUCAAGUCCGUUGAUAUUGCUGUUGGAACGGAUCGUAUGAACUGCACAGGCGGUACGAACGGUUUAAUCUGCAACAUCGGUAACAUCUGCUU
RNAcentral lists this small RNA (257 nucleotides) under Histoplasma capsulatum. RNAcentral describes it as "hypothetical RNA". The record is from RNAcentral. RNAcentral also lists the same sequence under 1 other name. Lineage: Eukaryota; Fungi; Ascomycota; Eurotiomycetes; Onygenales; Ajellomycetaceae.